Molecule: signal recognition particle RNA, 300 nt
Filed under: Strigops habroptila (Kakapo)
Lineage: Eukaryota; Metazoa; Chordata; Aves; Psittaciformes; Psittacidae
Description: Metazoan signal recognition particle RNA (ENSSHBG00005000090.1)
Rfam family: Metazoan signal recognition particle RNA
About the family: The signal recognition particle (SRP) is a universally conserved ribonucleoprotein. It is involved in the co-translational targeting of proteins to membranes.
Source: Rfam by way of RNAcentral
GCUGGGCAUGGUGGCACGUGCCUGUAGUCCUAGCUACUUGGGAGGCUGAGCCCGCUGGAUCGCUUGAGCCCAGGAGUUCUGGGCUGCAGUGCGCUAUGCCGAGCAGGUGUCCGUGCUAUGGCUGGCAUCAAUACAGUGAGACAGGGGGAGCCGGGGCAUGCCAGGUUGACUAAGGAGGGGUGAAACAGCCCAGGUCGGAGAUGGAGCAGGUCAAAGCUCCUGUGCUGGUCAGUAGCGGGAUCGCGCCUGUGAAUAGCCACUGCGGCGUAGCCUGGGCAACACAGAGAGACGCGGGAUCCU